This 201-nucleotide ribosomal RNA is filed under the name uncultured bacterium. RNAcentral's name for it is "partial 16S ribosomal RNA". It matches the Rfam family "Bacterial small subunit ribosomal RNA", at positions 1299 to 1500 of the family's 1533-position model. The record is from RNAcentral.
UGUAGGCUGCAACCCGCCUGCAUGAAGUUGGAAUUGCUAGUAAUCGCGGAUCAGCAUGCCGCGGUGAAUACGUUCCCGGGGAUUGUACACACCGCCCGUCACACCAUGAGAGUCGGGAACACCCAAAGUCCGUAGUCUAACCGCAAGGAGGACGCGGCCUAAGGUGGGUUCGAUAAUUGGGUGAAGUCGUAACAAGGUAUC